This 253-nucleotide ribosomal RNA is filed under the name uncultured bacterium. RNAcentral's name for it is "partial 16S ribosomal RNA". It matches the Rfam family "Bacterial small subunit ribosomal RNA", at positions 524 to 776 of the family's 1533-position model. The record is from RNAcentral.
UACGUAGGGGGCAAGCGUUGUCCGGAUUCAUUGGGCGUAAAGAGCGUGUAGGCGGCCAGGUAGGUCGGUUGUGAAAACUGGAGGCUCAACCUUCAGACGUCGACCGAAACCAUCUGGCUAGAGUCCGGGAGAGGAGAGUGGAAUUCCUGGUGUAGCGGUGAAAUGCGCAGAUAUCAGGAAGAACACCCGUGGCUAAGGCGGCUCUCUAGUACGGUACUGACGCUGAGGCGCGAAAGCCAGGGGAGCAAACGGG